AAGUUUUCAGUUGCUGUUUUACAA
This 24-nucleotide non-coding RNA is filed under the name Arabidopsis thaliana (thale cress). The record is from RNAcentral. Lineage: Eukaryota; Viridiplantae; Streptophyta; Magnoliopsida; Brassicales; Brassicaceae.